This 456-nucleotide ribosomal RNA is filed under the name uncultured bacterium. RNAcentral's name for it is "bacterial SSU rRNA". It matches the Rfam family "Bacterial small subunit ribosomal RNA", at positions 340 to 786 of the family's 1533-position model. The record is from RNAcentral.
UACGGAAGGCAGCAGUGGGGAAUAUUGCACAAUGGGCGCAAGCCUGAUGCAGCCAUGCCGCGUGUAAUGAAGUAAGGCCUUACGGGUUGUAAAGUACUUUCAGUCGUGAGGAAGGUGUUAAGGUUAAUAACCUUAGCAAUUGACGUUAGCGACAGAAGAAGCACCGGCUAACUCCGUGCCAGCAGCCGCGGUAAUACGGAGGGUGCGAGCGUUAAUCGGAAUUACUGGGCUAAAGGGCACGCAGGCGGUUAAUUAAGUUGGAUGUGAAAUCCCCGGGCUUAACCUGGGAAUGGCAUUCAAGACUGGUUAGCUAGAGUCUUGUAGAGGGGGUAGAAUUCCAUGUGUAGCGGUGAAAUGCGUGGAGAUGUGGAGGAAUACCGGUGGCGAAGGCGGCCCCUGGGACAAAGGACUGACGCUCAUGUGCGAAAGCUGGGGAGCAAACAGGGAUUAGAUACC